GCCAACCUUGAGGGACCACUCACCCC
RNAcentral lists this non-coding RNA (26 nucleotides) under Rattus norvegicus (Norway rat). The record is from RNAcentral. Lineage: Eukaryota; Metazoa; Chordata; Mammalia; Rodentia; Muridae.